RNAcentral lists this unclassified non-coding RNA (520 nucleotides) under uncultured Glomus. RNAcentral's name for it is "SSU rRNA". It matches the Rfam family "Eukaryotic small subunit ribosomal RNA", at positions 569 to 1092 of the family's 1831-position model. The record is from RNAcentral. Lineage: Eukaryota; Fungi; Glomeromycota; Glomeromycetes; Glomerales; Glomeraceae.
AGCAGCCGCGGUAAUUCCAGCUCCAAUAGCGUAUAUUAAAGUUGCUGCAGUUAAAAAGCUCGUAGUUGAAUUUCGGGAUCAAUAUGUUGGUCGUGCCUCGGUACGUACUAGCUUAUUGGUUUCUUCCUUCUGACGAACCAUAAUGUCAUUUAUUUGGUGUUAUGGGGAAUCAGGACUGUUACUUUGAAAAAUUAGAGUGUUUAAAGCAGGCUCACGCUUGAAUACAUUAGCAUGGAAUAAUGAAAUAGGACGUUUGAUUCUAUUUUGUUGGUUUCUAGGAUCGACGUAAUGAUUAAUAGGGAUAGUUGGGGGCAUUAGUAUUCAAUUGUCAGAGGUGAAAUUCUUGGAUUUAUUGAAGACUAACUACUGCGAAAGCAUUUGCCAAGGAUGUUUUCAUUAAUCAAGAACGAAAGUUAGGGGAUCGAAGACGAUCAGAUACCGUCGUAGUCUUAACCAUAAACUAUGCCGACUAGGGAUCGGAUGAUGUUAAUUUUUUAAUGUACUCAUUCGGCGCCUUAAC